UAUAAAUUACAUUAAAUAUAAUAUAAUCAAAUAGAACAAAGCUAUUUUCAAGUGCAAUAAUAUUUCACAGUUUUACUGUUUUCCUGUAUUUUGAUUAAAUAAAUGCAGCCUUGGUGAGCAUAAAACAUUGGUGAACACAAAAACAUUAAAUAAAUCCUACUGGCCACAAACUUUUUGGUAGCAUAUAUUGUAUAUUAUUUAAACACAAGUCUUCUGAAGCUAUACAAAAGCAUUGUUUGAGAAACAGACUGAAUUUUAAUUUAGUCACAGUUGUUAACAGCUCACCAGACAUGUGUGUUCGGCACAGUUAUUGUAUCACUUCAGAAGAGUUUUACAUAUAAUAUUCGAGUCACAUAGACUAUUUUAUAAUGCUUUUGUCCAUUCUUCAUUACAGUUUAAUGCUGCUAUUGCUCAAUUGCAUGAAAAAGAACAACCAAUACAUUAUUCAAAAUGUGUUGAAAAUUGCUUCAAGCUGGAAAAUCAGAUGGGUUUUGGGGCUACAUGAGGGUCAAUAAAUGAUGACCGAAUUUUCAAUUUUUGCGGUGAACUAUUCCUUUAAAACCAUGCUCUUCAUUGACGCAUAUCUGAGAGCAUGCCCUUUAGAUUCAGAGGUAAUUGAGGUCGGUGGUAGUGCGCGUGAAAACAGAAGCUCUGCGGCACAUGAAUCUUGGAAUUUUCCUGAACCUUCUCAGGCUUAUCAUCCUCGUUUCCUCUAAUAGGGCAUCCCUCAGUGAUCUCAUCAAAUUGAGAAGCAGAGCAUAUGUAGCUUUUGAGAUGAUUAGCCUGCCAAGCAUUUCAUUAACCCGACCUAAGUGAUUAAAAGGGGCAGAUCCAUUGAUCCCCUUUGUGGUUCAUGCAUUAUUACUUGGAGGCCAUCUUCAUGCAAGAACUCUGAUUUCCCUCCCCUUCAUGUAAGGAUUUGCAGUCACUGACCUUUGCAGAUCUGGAGGUGUUAAGAACGGUUCAUGCAGAACACUGGCACGAGACGAGAGACGUGGUCUAGUCAUGCAUGCCGCUCUGCUUCCCCGACCUUUCAUACCCCCAUCUUACGUCCUUGGCUCUUGUGAGAUCACAGAGAGGUGUGUUCAGCGUCUAGCUUUCACGGAGAGGCCAGAGUCUGGCUGGCAAUAUAAAGAAAGCCGGUGCACUAUAGAUUUUAUGACAAGCAUCCGUUAACCAGUCUUGAAUAAUAGUGGAACCAGAAAUCUUCAGUUCUUUGGAAAUAUUUUCAAAUGUAUGCUCUUUCACUGAUGCUAAGAACAUGCUGAAUCCCAGA
Long non-coding RNA from Megalobrama amblycephala (Wuchang bream), 1276 nucleotides. RefSeq lists it as uncharacterized. The transcript has 2 exons. The record is from RefSeq and is a predicted model, not a curated record. Lineage: Eukaryota; Metazoa; Chordata; Actinopteri; Cypriniformes; Xenocyprididae.